Molecule: long non-coding RNA, 302 nt
Filed under: Equus asinus (donkey)
Lineage: Eukaryota; Metazoa; Chordata; Mammalia; Perissodactyla; Equidae
Description: lncRNA (ENSEASG00005026971.1)
Source: RNAcentral
CUCCAAUUCUGGAGCCACUGGGCGCACACAAGCAAGGCAGCUGCAAUGAGUUCUUUGUGCUCUAUCAUCUCCUCCUGGUGGCUCCGGCUCCUGGUGCUUCCAGACUGGACCAAACCACCAACGUUCCAAGAAGCCAGUAAGGACAAGAAUAUCCUGUUUUGUUUGUGCCUCUAAUUGAUUGACAUUACAGAAGAAUGUGGCUUCUUCUUGAAAAAUGACUUCAAGAAUAACUGAAUUAGCUAGAAUGGCCCAGUCCUCACCAUCUGAUGUCAGUGGUCUCAGCUCCAAUUAGGUUACUUUUG